AAGACUUUUGAUUUGUCUUAUUUUUGUUUGUUGUGAUUGUGUUGCAGUUCGAUACUAUUUGGUUGGAGCGCAACCAUUCCAUAGCCGGUUAUCUUUCUUCACUGAUAAUGUUUGUGCCGAUCUUGGUUUGACCUCUUUCUUAAGCUUGCAAGCUAGGAUCAACCAUUAUAGUUUUGGUGAGGAGGACACGGAGAGGAUUUGGUCUGUGUUGGCUUUGGACGAUAGCUAAUUCGUUCUUUUCGAACGUAUGGAAAACACAUUCUCCAGAUAUAUUGGCAAACUUAUGAAGGGAGAAGUAUCUCCCCUCAUAAAGGUUCAGAUAUAUCUAAUGUACAUUGCCCUUCCUAAGCUUUAGGCCCUCAAAGUGUUAGAGCUCAAACUAAAAAUAUGCGAAGUGAUGCUAUAAUACCUUCCCUUUAGUGUCUCCAUGGAUAUCACCCAAGAGGAAGAUCUGAAGAUGCUUUAAAGAAAAAUGAGGAUGAUAUAAAGCUUUCUGAUGUAAACUUAGACAGGGAAAAGGAAUGUGGUAUAUGCCUUCAGCCAUGUGCACCGAAAUGGUCUUGACAAACUGCUGACAUGCUAUGCGCAUCAAAUGCUACUGUGACUGGAACCCUCAGAUCCUAUAAUGAGUCGAAGCAGAUGAUCAAUGGAAAUGGAUGUUACAAGCAUAUAAAAUCUCCCUUGGUUAUGGAUUAUGCCAAUAGAAUGCAUUCUGUAUGAACAAUAUAUAUUAUUUAAAUGAAUGAAUGUCAUUUAUGUGCUUCUAAAUCAAGUCCUUGAAGCUCCAAA
This is an RNA transcript of Fragaria vesca subsp. vesca, 789 nucleotides long. RefSeq lists it as uncharacterized. The transcript is spliced from 4 exons. The record is from RefSeq and is a predicted model, not a curated record. Lineage: Eukaryota; Viridiplantae; Streptophyta; Magnoliopsida; Rosales; Rosaceae.